Non-coding RNA from Gossypium hirsutum (cotton), 145 nucleotides. Lineage: Eukaryota; Viridiplantae; Streptophyta; Magnoliopsida; Malvales; Malvaceae. The record is from Rfam.
UGUUAAAAUUUUUAUCAAUUUUUAUUGUUAAAAAUUAACAUAACUGACUGAAUAACUAGAUAGUUCCACAUAGUGUAUCAUAUGUACAUUAUAUUGACGUACAUGGGUCAAUUUUUAACACUAAAAAUAGAUGAAACUUUUUAUA